Molecule: ribosomal RNA, 497 nt
Filed under: uncultured bacterium
Lineage: Bacteria
Description: partial 16S ribosomal RNA
Rfam family: Bacterial small subunit ribosomal RNA
Source: RNAcentral
GACGAACGCUGGCGGCGUGCCUAAUACAUGCAAGUCGAACGCUGAAGAGAGGAGCUUGCUCUUCUUGGAUGAGUUGCGCACGGGUGAGUAACGCGUAGGUAACCUGCCUUGUAGCGGGGGAUAACUAUUGGAAACGAUAGCUAAUACCGCAUAACACUGGCUUACCCAUGUCAUUUAUUUGAAAGGGGCAACUGCUCCACUACAAGAUGGACCUGCGUUGUAUUAGCUAGUAGGUGAGGUAACGGCUCACCUAGGCGACGAUACAUAGCCGACCUGAGAGGGUGAUCGGCCACACUGGGACUGAGACACGGCCCAGACUCCCACGGGAGGCAGCAGUAGGGAAUCUUCGGCAAUGGGGGCAACACUGACCGAGAAACGCCGCGUGAGUGAAGAAGGGUGUCGGAUCGUAAAGCUCUGUUGUAAGUCAAGAACGAGGGUGAGAGUGGAAAGUUCACACUGUGACGGUAGCUUACCAGAAAGGGACGGCUAACUACGUG